GGUUUAUGAACUUGGCUCAUGAAUCUUGGUUUAUGGACUUGAUUCAUGAUUCAUGAUCUUGGUUUAUGGUUUAUGAAGUUGGGUAUAUUGGAUAUAGUUCAUGAACUUGGUUUAUUUUGGUUCAUAGGCCUUGAUUCAUGAACUUGGGUUAUGAUCCGUGGUGUUUGGUUCACGAACUUGGGUGAGGUUCAUGGAUUUGGUUCGUGGUUCAUGAACUUGGUUUAUGAGUUUUGGUUCAUGAGACUUGAUUCAUGAACUUGGGUAUAGAAUUUGGGAUUUGGUUCACGAACUUAGGUUCAUGAGCCUAAGUUAGAAGUUGGAUUUGAGUUUUGGGUUUGGAUUUGGAUUGUGGACUUGAUUUGAGUUGGGUUUGGGUUCUUUAUGUGGACAUGGUUUGGAUUUUGGUUUGGAUUUUAUUUGGGUUUUGGAUUUGGGUUGUGGACUUGGGUUGUGGACUUGAUUUGGUUUUAGGUUUGGAUUUGAUUUGGUUUGGAUUUGGGUUCGGAUUUUAUUUGGGCUUUGGUUUUGGGCUUUAUUUGUGCACUUGAUUUGGUUUGGGCUUGGGUUUAUUUAUGGAAUGGGUUUGGGUUCUUUAUGUGGACUUGGUUUGGUUUGGGUUUAUUUGGGUUUUGGGUUUGNGUUUUGGUUCAUAGGCCUUGAUUCAUGAACUUGGGUUAUGAUCCGUGGUGUUUGGUUCACGAACUUGGGUGAGGUUCAUGGAUUUGUUUCGUGGUUCAUGAACUUGGUUUAUAACUUUUGGUUCAUGAGACUUUAUUCAUGAACUUGGGUAUAGAAUUUGGGAUUUGGUUCACGAACUUAGGUUCAUGAGCCUAAGUUAGUAGUUGGAUUUGAGUUUUGGGUUUGGAUUUGGAUUGUGGACUUGAUUUGAGUUGGGUUUGGGUUCGUUAUGUGGACUUGGUUUGGAUUUUGGUUUGGAUUUUAUUUGGGUUUUGGAUUUGGGUUGUGGACUUGAUUUGAGUUGGGUUUGGGUUCUUUAUGUGGACUUGGUUUGGUUUUAGGUUUGGAUUUUAUUUGGGUUUUGAAUUUGGGUUGUGGACUUGGGUUGUGGACUUGAUUUGGUUUUUGUUUGGUUUGGGUUUGGAUUUUAUUUGGGUUUUGGUUUCAGGCUUUAUUUGUGAAUUUAAUUUGGUUUGGGCUUGGGUUUAUUUAUGGAAUGGGUUUGGGUUCUUUAUGUGGACUUGGUUUGGUUUGGGUUUAUUUGGGUUUUGAGUUUGGUUUGGGUUUUGGGUUUGGUUUGGGUUCAAGUUUGGGUUUAUUUGUAGACUAGGUUUGGGUUUAGGUUUGGAUUUGAUUUGGGUUUUGGGUUUUGGUUUAUUUGUGGAUUGUAUUUGGUUUUGGUUUGGUUUGGGUUCGGAUUUUAUUUCGGGUUCGGGGCAAUCCACUUUUGAUUUUUGCAAUUUGGUUCGGAUC
RNAcentral lists this long non-coding RNA (1431 nucleotides) under Ananas comosus (pineapple). RNAcentral's name for it is "long non-coding RNA (ACOM_LNC011622)". The record is from RNAcentral. Lineage: Eukaryota; Viridiplantae; Streptophyta; Magnoliopsida; Poales; Bromeliaceae.